Molecule: ribosomal RNA, 118 nt
Filed under: Hucho hucho (huchen)
Lineage: Eukaryota; Metazoa; Chordata; Actinopteri; Salmoniformes; Salmonidae
Source: RNAcentral
UAGGAUUUUGCCAACAACCUUAGCACCCUGCUCUCUGCUGGUUAUCAUGUGAAGCUAAGCAGGUUUGGGUGUGGUCAGUGCUUGGAUGGGAAACCACCUGGGAAGAUAAAGCUCCUAC